UGGCGGACGGGUGAGUAAUGUCUGGGAAACUGCCCGAUGGAGGGGGAUAACUACUGGAAACGGUAGCUAAUACCGCAUAACGUCGCAAGACCAAAGAGGGGGACCUUAGGGCCUCUUGCCAUCGGAUGUGCCCAGAUGGGAUUAGCUAGUAGGUGGGGUAACGGUUCACCUAGGCGACGAUCCCUAGCUGGUCUGAGAGGAUGACCAGCCACACUGGAACUGAGACACGGUCCAG
RNAcentral lists this ribosomal RNA (235 nucleotides) under uncultured bacterium. Its description in RNAcentral is "partial 16S ribosomal RNA". It matches the Rfam family "Bacterial small subunit ribosomal RNA", at positions 96 to 334 of the family's 1533-position model. The record is from RNAcentral.